AGGGUAAUAUACUUGAGCAACUUGACGUUAUCUACAGAAGAAGCACUGGCUAACUCUGUGCCAGCAGCCGCGGUAAUACAGAGAGUGCAAGCGUUAAUCGGAAUCACUGGGCGUAAAGCGCGCGUAGGUGGAUGUUUAAGUCGGAUGUGAAAGCCCUAGGCUUAACCUAGGAACUGCAUUCGAUACUGAAUAUCUCGAGUAUGGUAGAGGGAAGUGGAAUUUCCGGUGUAGCGGUGAAAUGCGUAGAUAUCGGAAAGAACACCAGUGGCGAAGGCGGCUUCCUGGACCAAUACUGACACUGAGGUGCGAAAGCGUGGGGAGCAAACAGGAUUAGAGACCCUGGUAGUCCACGCCGUCAACGAUGAGAACUAGCUGUUGGGAAGUUUACUUUCUAGUAGCGAAGCUAACGCGUUAAGUUCUCCGCCUGGGGAGUACGGCCGCAAGGUUAAAACUCAAAGAAAUUGACGGGGGCCCGCACAAGCGGUGGAUCAUGUGGUUUAAUUCUAUGCAAAAAA
This 515-nucleotide ribosomal RNA is filed under the name uncultured Coxiellaceae bacterium. Its description in RNAcentral is "bacterial SSU rRNA". It matches the Rfam family "Bacterial small subunit ribosomal RNA", at positions 441 to 963 of the family's 1533-position model. Lineage: Bacteria; Pseudomonadati; Pseudomonadota; Gammaproteobacteria; Legionellales; Coxiellaceae. The record is from RNAcentral.